CCGAUGUCACUUUUUCUUCAAACGAGGAAUAAUAGCCAGUCCUCUGUAGAAUUUUCACUGUCUGGACCCACGUGCUAGCCGAGCUAUCCUCCAGGACCCGGCCCAGCCGCCGCCACCGCUCCCGCCCGUCUGCGGCCGCCCCGCUGCCCGCGGCCCCUUUGCAACCGCCCUCGUCCUCCCAUUGGCAGCGCCGCCCCGCCGCUCGCGCGCCCAUUGGUCCCGGAGGAGGGUAGGGGGCGGGAGCUGGAACCGCUCGGUUGCUAUUGGGUGGUUGAGGAGCGGAGGGGCGGUGACCUGCGGGUUCAUUGGUUCGGAGGGCGGUCAGUCCGGCCGUGAUUGGCGGCCGGGGGAGGGGCGGGCUUGGGGGUGGCUGUGGGGAGUCGACGCCAUGACAGUGCGGGGCUGGCUUGG
Oxyura jamaicensis (ruddy duck) is the source of this 411-nucleotide long non-coding RNA. RefSeq lists it as uncharacterized. Lineage: Eukaryota; Metazoa; Chordata; Aves; Anseriformes; Anatidae. The transcript has 3 exons. The record is from RefSeq and is a predicted model, not a curated record.